Molecule: ribosomal RNA, 484 nt
Filed under: uncultured bacterium
Lineage: Bacteria
Description: partial 16S ribosomal RNA
Rfam family: Bacterial small subunit ribosomal RNA
Source: RNAcentral
AUUGAACGCUGGCGGCAGGCCUAACACAUGCAAGUCGAGCGGAUGAAGGGAGCUUGCUCCUGGAUUCAGCGGCGGACGGGUGAGUAAUGCCUAGGAAUCUGCCUGGUAGUGGGGGAUAACGUCCGGAAACGGGCGCUAAUACCGCAUACGUCCUGAGGGAGAAAGUGGGGGAGCUUCGGACCUCACGCUAUCAGAUGAGCCUAGGUCGGAUUAGCUAGUUGGUGGGGUAAAGGCCUACCAAGGCGACGAUCCGUAACUGGUCUGAGAGGAUGAUCAGUCACACUGGAACUGAGACACGGUCAAGACUCCUACGGGAGGCAGCAGUGGGGAAUAUUGGACAAUGGGCGAAAGCCUGAUCCAGCCAUGCCGCGUGUGUGAAGAAGGUCUUCGGAUUGUAAAGCACUUUAAGUUGGGAGGAAGGGCAGUAAGUUAAUACCUUGCUGUUUUGACGUUACCAACAGAAUAAGCACCGGCUAACUUCGUG